UCUCUCUCUGACCUGUAAUAAGUGAACUCUGAGCUCAUGUGUUUGUGACUCUUCACCUCUGUCUCCUCUCACAGGGAGAAGAUGAUCUGCAGCAUCCUGCUGCUCAUCAUCCUGACCUCCUGUGUCUCUGGAACAUUUGUAGUGAAUGUGACCCAGACCUCCUAUCAGGCAGAGGAGAACCACGACAU
This is a long non-coding RNA of Sander lucioperca (pikeperch), 188 nucleotides long. RefSeq lists it as uncharacterized. Lineage: Eukaryota; Metazoa; Chordata; Actinopteri; Perciformes; Percidae. The transcript has 2 exons. The record is from RefSeq and is a predicted model, not a curated record.